Long non-coding RNA from Homarus americanus (American lobster), 406 nucleotides. RefSeq lists it as uncharacterized. The record is from RefSeq and is a predicted model, not a curated record. NCBI's taxonomy places the organism in Eukaryota, Metazoa, Arthropoda, Malacostraca, Decapoda, Nephropidae. The transcript is spliced from 3 exons.
UACUCGACAGUAAAAGGCGCUUACCAGGAGGGAAAGCGGGAACUCUUAAGCGAGAAUAACAGUCGCUAUACUUCCUUAUACGGUGUACCAGCCAUCACUCGCUGUUCCUGGUGUAUAUUGUCCAGGGCUACUCGACUUAAGUGAUAUACUGAACCGAAGUUUGUUAAAUAAUUGGUGGGAGGAACAGCCAUUUGAUGAGAUGGCUGAGCGGCAGGAGGUGGCCCGGGUGGAAGGUACAAUAGUGGGCGCGGUGGGUGUUCACACGCCGAUGGACGACCUCGACAGAGCCACCAGGAAACAAGUUACUCUGACAGCUUACAGAGUGAUCCAGCAGGCAUGUGGAGAAGAUGUAUCAGAGGACGACCACCUAACUGAACGAACAGACUACAAGCACCACCUGGAGACA